Molecule: ribosomal RNA, 263 nt
Filed under: uncultured bacterium
Lineage: Bacteria
Description: partial 16S ribosomal RNA
Rfam family: Bacterial small subunit ribosomal RNA
Source: RNAcentral
GUCCACGCCCUAAACGAUGUCAACUGGUUGUUGGGAAUUUAUUUUCUCAGUAACGAAGCUAACGCGUGAAGUUGACCGCCUGGGGAGUACGGCCGCAAGGUUAAAACUCAAAGGAAUUGACGGGGACCCGCACAAGCGGUGGAUGAUGUUCUUUAAUUCGAUGCAACGCGAAAACCUUACCCACCUUUGACAUGUAUGGAAUCCUUUAGAGAUGAAGGAGUGCUCGAAAGAGAGCCAUAACACAGGUGCUGCAUGGCUGUCGU